UCUCGUAGCUUGCUAUGAGAACGGUUAGUGGCAGACGGGUGAGUAAUGCAUAGGAAUCUACCUAGUAGUAUGGGAUAGCCACUAGAAAUGGUGGGUAAUACUGUAUAAUCCCUGCGGGGGAAAGAUUUAUCGCUAUUAGAUGAGCCUAUGUUAGAUUAGCUAGUUGGUAGGGUAAAGGCCUACCAAGGCAGUGAUCUAUAGCUGGUCUGAGAGGAUGAUCAGCCACACUGGAACUGAGAUACGGUCCAGACUCCUACGGGAGACAGCAGUAGGGAAUAUUGGACAAUGGGCGCAAGCCUGAUCCAGCUAUGCCGCGUGAGUGAGGAAGGCCUUAGGGUUGUAAAACUCUUUCAGUGGGGAAGAUAAUGACGGUACCCACAGAAGAAGUCCCGGCAAACUCCGUGCCAGCAGCCGCGGUAAUACGGAGGGGGCAAGCGUUGUUCGGAAUUAUUGGGCGUAAAGGGCAUGUAGGCGGUUCGGUAAGUUAAAGGUGAAAUGCCAGGGCUUAACCCUGGAGCUGCUUUUAAUACUGCCAGACUGGAGUCCGGGAG
RNAcentral lists this ribosomal RNA (551 nucleotides) under Anaplasma platys. RNAcentral's name for it is "bacterial SSU rRNA". It matches the Rfam family "Bacterial small subunit ribosomal RNA", at positions 71 to 654 of the family's 1533-position model. The record is from RNAcentral. Lineage: Bacteria; Pseudomonadati; Pseudomonadota; Alphaproteobacteria; Rickettsiales; Anaplasmataceae.